RNAcentral lists this ribosomal RNA (462 nucleotides) under uncultured bacterium. RNAcentral describes it as "bacterial SSU rRNA". It matches the Rfam family "Bacterial small subunit ribosomal RNA", at positions 57 to 518 of the family's 1533-position model. The record is from RNAcentral.
GCAAGUCGAGCGGAGUGCAGUGUCUAAGAGACUUCGGUCAAAUUAAUCUGUACUUAGCGGCGGAUGGGUGAGGAACGCGUGGAGAACCUGCCCUCACAGGGGGAUAACAGUUGGAAACGGCUGUUAAUACCGCAUAUGCUCACGGCACCGCAUGGUGCAGGGAGGAAAGCCGAGACGGUGAAGGAUGGCUCCGCGUCGGAUUAGCCAGUUGGCGGGGUAACGGCCCACCAAAGCGAUGAUCCGUAGCCGGCCUGAGAGGGCGACCGGCCACAUUGGGACUGAGACACGGCCCAAACUCCUACGGGAGGCAGCAGUGGGGGAUAUUGCACAAUGGGGGAAACCCUGAUGCAGCGAACCGCCGCGUGAAGGAAGAAGUGCUUCGGCAUGUAAACUUCUAUCAGCAGGGAAGAAGAUGACGGUACCUGCACAAGAAGCCCCGGCUAACUACGUGCCAGCCGCAGC